UGUUAAACUUUUUCCUGUCCUGUACCUCAUUGCUUUUUAAAUUUUCUUUCUGUGACCACUUUUAACAGGCCUAUCCUUAGUUUUUAUCUCUUUCCUGUCUUUUAACAAGUCACUUUUCAGUUAUCUAUGUCUCCUCCUAUCCAGUUGGUGGUUUUGAUUAUUUCUUGCAUUUCCUUAGUGCUCUCGCUUUCAAAAUUUUCUCUCCACGUCUUCGUUUAUUUAGUUCGUUCUCUCUAUUUUUACAUGCUGCUCUCUCUAAAUCCCUUGAAUUUUCAGAUUUUGUGUGGCAAUGCUCAUGCCCAGUGUUUGGAUCGAGGUCAGGCUUCGUCCAGGACUUUUGCAGGCAGGGUGAUGUUUGAGGCGCCCGGGAAGGGUGUUCCCAAGGAGGGCCGCAGACACAGUAUGAUGGCCUGUUGUGGCAAUCAGGUGGUAGGACAGAUGAGGUGAGUGAGGGGUGGUUUGGGUGGUUGCUGCACGAGUGCUGUGUUUAGAAUGUGUCAACCUGUGUGUGAUUGUCUUAUGUUGUUUGGUUUGCAGGUUUUAUGUGAAGUUGAGUUUUUGGAUAUUUAGGAAAAAAAGAAAUUAAAACCCCCAAAACCAGCUGGUGUAUUUUUUUGUUUUUUUCCCCCUGGCUGGGAUUUUUUUUCCCCCUGGUCCUAGCUGCUCUAUCUGGAGAUGAUCAGUGCCAACGUUAGGGUGCACAGAUUGUUCUCAGGCUGGUGUUUUUGGAGGCGGGGUGGUUUUUGAGAACCCCAGGAGUGCUGCAGACGUGGGGUGAUGGCCUGUUGUGGCAGUCAGGUGGCAGAAUGGAUGAGCUGAGAGUUGAGGGGUUGUUUGUGUGGUAGCAGAACAAGUGAUGUAUUCUGAUUGUGCCUAACUAGUUAGGAUUUAUUUUUGUAGUUUUCCCCUGUGGGCUGUAUGUGGAGUUGAGAUUUUUUUAUUUCAGACACUAAAAAAACCAACACCCAGCUCUGAGAUUUUAUUGUUUUCUUUCCCAGCUGGGUGGUUUUAUCCUGGUCCUGACUGCUCUGCAUGGUGAUGUUCAUCACCAAUCUUUGGAUGGAGGUUUGGCCUGGGCUGGGAUUUUUGCAGGCAGGGUGAAUUCUGAGGCCGCUGGGAAUGCUGUUUCUGUGGAGCGCUCCCCUGGCCUGUGGCAAUUGUCCAUCGUUGCAGGGAGGUGCGUUUAGUGGACAGUCAGGGGGAGAUGGUUGGUGCAUCUUGCAGUUGAAGGGUGUGGGGAGAUGCACUAGAGUGCUCCAGUGCUGAGGAGGAUGGGGUUGUGAAGCAGGUGGGCCUUAAUUUUACAUUGGUAGGGUUGUAAGUUCUUUCAGUGGGUGGUGUGGUGUCUGUAAUGCUUUUUGAAUUUGAUUUCUGGGUGCAGGCAUGGAAGUUGUGGGCCUGUUAAGAUGAGCAGAGCUUGCUUGCUUUCUGCCUAGGCAUACAAAUUUUGGAGAUGUAGCCUUAAACUUGUAUGUGUAAAGUGAUAGACUAAGUAUGUAAUGGGAAUGAAAAACGUAGAGAAGACUCUAGCUACUGUGUAGAGAAUCGCAGGCACUAAGUGGUUGCAAUUAAGGUAAUGAUGGAUUUUUAGCAGUUACCUGUAUUUAUUAAAGAAAUUACUAAAAAGUGAAUGAGUGUAAUAGUAAUUAUUUGCUCAAAUGAGACAGUAAAUACUUUUUAUCAUGGUAGCACAAGAACAUUGUGGAAUUGAGGUGUGUGUAAUGAUAUUAGCGAAGUUAUUUGGAGUCAGUAAUGGGCUAACAGAAAGAUAGGGACUGUUGGAAAAAAAAGAUAGGCAAUAUUUUAUCCUAAGCAAUAAAUGGUAGAGUAUUGCCUGUCUCUUACUGCACCACACUUAGACUUUUUAUAUUUUUACUUAUCCAAAACACACAAUUGAAGUAACUGGCACACAUACAUUAAAGUAACAUGCACACGCUACUAGAACCAGUAAUUGCUGAUUAUAACACAGCUGCACUAUAAGUCUUCCAGCUGUACUGGAAGUCCCCACACAGAACUGACAAGUGUAACAGCCCAGUCCAAGCCUAAAGAGGCUGAACUACCCCAUAAACUGUAAACAUCACCCAUAAUUCCAUAAAUAGACUCCAAAUAAACUGUUUAUUGCAGAUGAAGCAGCUGACAACUGCAAGAACAGCCCAAUUACCUGAUGUGCAGGAUGGGCUCUUAGUACCUACAUGUUGGGAUCAGAGGUCAUUACUGGGGUCAAAUGUAAAAACAUGAUUCAAAGGGAUAUUGCAUGGUCAAAGGUAAGGGUCAGCUUGGGGUCCAGGGUAAGCUUGGGGUCAAGGGUAAUACAUUGACUCAGGAUCAAACGUCAGCUGCCUUUGACCAGGUGGUCUGGAGAACCUCUCCUGCUGACUUAUGGUGACAGGCGUCAUCCUGGACUGUGAUGCUGAUGGCUCUUCUGGGACAGCCCUGGAAGGACCCAAUGCAGGGAUGCCAUUCACUGGUGUUCCCUCACCUGUUGGUGCCUCUGCUCAUGUUUAUGUGGAUGAGCUUUUUAUCACAUAACCUACCAGGAAGCCAUAGCUAAAGCUUUGGAAAAACUCGAACACUCUAAUACUAAAAUAACCUGGAGAGAAUUUUGGUAGUUUGAUUAAUUUGCAGGAUAACAUCUCGAGGGCCAGCAACUUAAAGAGAAGUCACUCUGCCCAUUUUAUUAAUUCUAGUUCAAAGGAAGCAUGUGCAGAAGAAGCCUAAGAGGGGUAGCAGCCCAACAAUCCCUAUGCCCCUCUAGCAUGGAGCCCUGUUUUUGAAACUUUCUCCAUCUGUCUCUCUGGCCCCUGUUUUUUAACUCCUCCCUCUCUACCCUGUUGCCCCUGCGAUCUUUUGUCUUUCUUUGCGUCUUUCUGGCCAGCUCCUUGUCCCUAUUUAUUAAUUCCUCCCUCUCCACCCUCUAGUCUCUUGCUUUUAUCCUUUCUCGAUCUCACUGUCUCUGGGUCCUCAACGACACUAUUCUUUCUGUUGCUAUUCUUUUUCCUCUCCCGCUGUCUUUCUUUUUUUCUCGAUCGCUGUCCCUCCUUCCUCUCUGCCUUUCGGUGUGCAGCUCUACACGCGCCGCGACACCCAUCACCGCGCUCGCUGCGAGCAACAGCUGGUACUUGGGGCGCCGCCGCGCGCGUUUCCGGCUGUCGCCCAGCGACCACGCUGCGCACGUGUGGUGGCUGCCCCGUGCUCAGCCCUGCCGCGCGCCAGUAACGGCAGCGUGACGGGGCGGUGCUGCCGCGCUUGUCGCUGCCCCGCGGUGAGGAACCGCCGCCGCGCCCUGCGCGCGCUCUCGCGCCGAUCGCUGAACUGCAGCGCCGGUGCCCUGGGCACGCGCCGCCCGCCGGGCGCUCCCGGCUGCUGCGGCCGCUGCCGCCGCCCCGUGGGCGAAGCGCGGCACUGCAGCACGGCGUCCGCGCGUCGGCAGUGGCCCCUCCGGCGCGCCGUCCGCGGCCGGAGCAGGCGCGGUGCCCGGGAGCAGCGUGGCGGCGCGUAAGGGCCGAGCGAGCGGGUCGGUGGAGUGAGCGAACGCCACCUCUUCGGCGCGUGCGUCUCCUGCCCGCCGACCGCCCGGAUGUGGCGGGACAGGAAGCUUCACACCGCCCGCUGCGGCAGGCUCCCAGCGCGCUGGGGGCGAGCCUAGACAGGGCAGCCCCAGGGAGUUACAGAGGGCCGGUAGAAGGGACGAGGGGAAGGAGGCGGGCGUCCCCAACUCGCCAGAGCUCCCCUUGAGCUGGCCCCGGCCCUGCUCACCCCAUGCAGCUGCCCCAGGCUCCAGCACCUCCCCUGAAGCCUGUCCCAUAGCCCCAGGUUGCCCCUGAGCCCUGUGGUGAGGGCAACAAGCUGGUCCUCGAUGUGUCUCCAGAAGCCCCUGCAGAAGGAGGAGCUCCAGCCAGUGGUGAUCUACGGUAGUAGCAGUCACUGCUGCUUUUCCUCUCCCGGAGGCUGUGCUGAGGAUGCAGUUGUCCAUUCCUGCCCUGGGGAUGCCACUGACUGCCCCCACCUCAGGCUUGCAUGAGUUGUCUGUGCCUGGCCUCGUGCUCCUUGCAGUAAGGGGCAAGAAGGGACAGGUCCACAGAACACUUACUGGCUGUGGUCAGGAGCUGUGGUGGCUGAAGCUGGAAUGGCCAGAGAAAGGUAAAGAAGAAGAAAUUGAAGGCUAUCUGGUCAGCUUCAGCGUCCCACUACAGGGAGAGAGAGGCAGCCUCUCUAGGUGACGAAUGAUCCGUCUUUGUAGUCUGCAGCAGGUAAGACCACUAAUGUGCACCGCGGGCUGUGUACAUGUCACCCAAAGCGUGUUGUGGCCAUUUAGUGUGUGAGCGAGUGAGGCUGCAUGUGUAGGGAGCUUCAUCUUGUAAGAUCUGUGAGACACCUAUGUGUUCUCUUAGGUAGAGGACAGCUAAAUGACUGGAUCUAGAGAAGAGGAAGGGAGAAGAACAAAGAAGCGUCUGAACUGGCAAAUUCUGGCAGCACUGAGAGUGAGAGCUGUAGUGCCGCAGGUAGCCUCAGAGGGGCAAAGUCGCAUGCUGAUAGGCAGUCCAAGAAGGUGAGGAGGUUGUUGGCUGGGCUGGUGUCUAAUAACAAAGUAUUAUAUGGCAACUUGGUUAAGCAUUUACCUCAGUUUUGCAGGUGCUGUGGGAGCCACCUUUGGAAUUGGAUGAGCCUUUGAGGUACCAAAAAGUGAUGAUGGCCACAGUGUCUGACUCUGAAAUGAGUAGGUGCAGAGGGAUAAGAUGCAUACCAAAGUGAUGGAGGAGGAGUUAAGUGGUGAGCAAAAUGGGAUAUUGGUACCAGAGCUGACUCAGGCAAGCUGCCUUUGGAAUUGGAUGAACACCUGAGAUGAAGAAAGAGGAAGCUGGCAACUUAAAGGGACAUCCCUGUUAGCUGAUGCUGUUUUUCUGUUGAUGAUGGUUUCAGACCUCUGGCCCUUUGAAAACUAUGAUGAGGGGACGAAGGUCUGGAGAAGGGUUGGGAGGAGUUGAGUGGACAAGGUCGGGAACUGCAGGGAGGGCUAUUAAAGUUAGCGUAGGGGAGUGUACUGUCCAGGAACGGUAUCCUUUGGUCAGGCAAGGGAGUGGGUUACUUGUCAGCAUGACAAUAGUUUGUGUUGGGCAGGGCAGGUUCCAGCCUGUGUCUGUGCAUGUAGCUCACGUAGUCUGUCUUGUGUCUUAUACCACACUGUCCUCGGGUUUUAAUGUCUCCAUAGCUCUUUGUCGUGAGCAGACACCUCAGUAGCCCCCCUGAGAAUCUUGACUGCAUUGCUUCACUGGCAUAGUGUCUGUCGAGCCCUUCUUGUCUAGCAGUUGUGGCCUAAAGGAUGGAUUUGUCUGUGUUUUGCAUUGUAGAUGUUCUUGAGCGUUCACCUCUUGUGCUGACAAGCUAGGCGAUGCCUGCAACUCUUCUGUUGAGAGUUCUCUUUGCACACAGUAGUCUUCUGGGGUUUCAUCUCUGUGUCCUUAAUGAUCCUAAGUUUCAAAGCCUAGCUUCUCAGGUAUCCAUCAUUCUGGUUUUGACGGUAGCUUUCUCUCAUGGGCCACAGUAGUUGCCUCUCAUUCCGGGGCCGCUAUAGAGCAUCUGCACUGUCCUGGCACCGUUGAGCUCCUCUGCUGGUGGCAUCUUCCCUAGGAUGGCAGUUCUCUCUCAUGGUCUUCUCACAUCUCACAAUUGUGUUGUUUGUGGUGUCUGUCUGUGUCAGGGUUGGAGCUGCCCUGCCCAGGGGUGUAGCAAUACUAAAGACAAUGGUAGCAUAGCUUUAUGGUUGUAUAGUAAUAUGUUGAUCUGCCCUGAUACUUUUGGCAAAGACUGUACGGUCCAUCUCCGGGAAAAUAGCUGUAGACAGCUGCUAGAGUUGUUUUCACUGUGUUUGGCAGGUGCCAGAGGUUGGACUCUGGCCUGCUGGGAGUGGUGGUCAGUGUGGUAGUUGAGCGGGUUGAAUCUCAAAGGAGCCUUACAUUAUACGCGGGGUUCAACAUGUGGGGUUUGGUUGUUUUAGCUGUAGUUAGAAGGCAUAUGCAAAAAGAGAGACCUUUGGUCUUGUAAAGCUAUCAGUUAGUGUCUAGGUGACUACCUUCACGUGAUUUGGGUUUCUCAGAUGCAGAGUGACGAGCCGUGUGCCGCAGGGUGACAGAAGAGGUAAGCAGAGUGCUGGGCAAAGGCGGGCCAGUGUCCGAUGUCAGAGGAUACGUGUGACUGAUGGCUCUGAUGGGCUUAUGCUGUUUCGGGUUUAUUUGCUAGGUGUGAAUAGAUGAGUGAAGUGGGAUAUCUGCACCGGAGCAGACUUGAGCAAGGUAAGUGGUGACCAGCGUGCCGAAGUAGUAGUUUUUUGAGGUGUCACACCCACCCUAUUAUGUACAUACAUAUCCUAUCCAAUAGGGAUAUAUAGGGAUGGGGUAUGUAGACCAAAGAAUCUGAGUCUGAGCAGCUGAGGUAAAGCAGCAGAGGAGAAGUGCUGUGAGCAGGCUGAGGAUUUGGGUGGCAUCUUCCGUCUGAUUUUUCCCCUGUUUUUUGGCAGGUGCUGCAUUCCUUUGCAGAGGGUUGAAGCUGCACAGCUAUGAGCAGUUUGAGAAAAGGCAAGAGAGUUAAGUGGUCCACUUGGGCUAAAUUGCUGAGGGUCCAUGCAACUGUGAUGUAUUACUUUGAAAGCUGGAGCAGAGCAAGUGAAUGCAGCUAUUUAGGGCUGUGGUCUCACGGAUGAAGUGUGUAUUAAACAGCUUUGUUUUGUUUGUGAAGGUAACAGAGCGGCAUGAAGUGAUUACAGGAACCUCGCAUUUAGGCAACAAGGCCACUAUCGAGGAUGGAUACUGAGCAUGGACCGUGAGCUGUGGCACCAUCAAAGCUAAGUAGUGGGACAGAUCUGUGGGGAGCGGAGUCCAUGUGUGUCCAAACGUUGCCGUAACGGGAGGGUUAGUCUGUGGGGAGUCAGCCUCGUGCAAGUGGAGGGAAUGAUACGUUUCACGACGUGUGCCCUGUGCAGUAUGUCUAGUGUGUGUUCGUACGUGUUCCUUAGUUACCUGAUGUGUUGAUGUUUGUCUUGGCCUUCAUGUCUGAGAAGCCUCAGGCAUACUCAUCCUACUGCAAUCACAAUAGCCAUCCGUUGCGUCUCUGUGGCCUCCCGUUAUUGGCAUGGUGCCAAUUCCGACUUGUUUAGCAGCGUGACAUAGAAGCUCAAUGCUGUUGGUCUGGUUUAGCGUUGUAGGUGCAUUUGGCCAGUCUUUCUUGCAGCUCUGGCUUGGGCCUAACCAUCAGGUCUCAUCUCGAUGACUCUUUCUUGAGACUGCUUCCAGAGUACCUCCUGUGCCAUCCUAGUCUUCAGUCUUUCCCAGCAAUUUGUCUCCAUCGGUCACGGUGGGUUUAUCAGGCCAGGCCAGAGUGUGUGCAUCACGUGGCCUCGGCACUGUAACGCGUGCUGUCAGGCCGCGUCUUUUGGUCUGGCGUUAACUCUACUCUGUCUGGUAUUCUUGCAUCCUUAGGUCACGUUUGUAGUUUGUAUAGUGUGUGUGUGAGGUGGAGCUGCUUUGUCCGUUUGUAUAGCAAUUCUUGUUGAUGUUGGAAUGAUCCAAGCACGGGAUGACGUGAUGAUUAGCAUGGCCUGUUUGGGUGGAGGUUGCAUAAGCUGGUUUUGGGGAUAGCCUAUAGCUAUUGGUGAGCAAGUUCUAAAGUCCCUCAUUUUAUCUUUUGCAGGUGUCUGGGGCCAUUGGGAUUCUGGGAGCAAAUCCUUCCGUGAGGCUUGCUGGAACGUGCACUUCAAAGAACGGGAGGAGUAGAAGUGGUGCAAAGAGGGAAACGUAUCCCUCUGCGUGCAGUUAGGAAGGGUAAUGCUGUGAAAUCGUGUGGACCGGUGAAGUUGUGUUGAGGUGCACAGUGAUGCAGUUCCAGGGAUGGUUAUAGAAUUGGGGUGAUCUGCCACUCUGGCAGGUGAUGAAAUGGAUAUGUUUUGAGUGAGGGGUGGAAUGAGCAGAUGCCGAAUGAGUGUUAGUUUUGGAAUGUGUCUAUCCUUAUAGGUGUGGAUUUCUUUUAUUUCAGGUUGUACCAAAUGUAGAGGUAGUUAAUGUUUCCUUAACAAUAAAUAAAAAAAACCCUCAAGCUGG
Long non-coding RNA from Tyto alba (common barn owl), 8090 nucleotides. RefSeq lists it as uncharacterized. The transcript is spliced from 6 exons. The record is from RefSeq and is a predicted model, not a curated record. Lineage: Eukaryota; Metazoa; Chordata; Aves; Strigiformes; Tytonidae.